CAAUAUCGCCAGGGAACUACGAGCAAUGCUUAAAACCCAAAGGACUUGACGGUGCCCCAUAUCCGCCUAGAGGAGCCUGUCCUAGAAUCGAUGAUCCCCGUUUAACCUCACCCCUGCUUGCUACUCAGUCUGUAUACCUCCGUCGUCAGUCCACCACGUGAGUGAAACUCAGUGGGCCCAAUUGCUUAUUCAACGCUAAUACGUCAGGUCAAGGUGCAGCUUAUGCAGGGGGAAGAGAUGGGCUACACUCUCUAACUUAGAAGAUACGAAAGACUACCCAUGAAACACAGUCUGAAGGAGGAUUUAGCAGUAAGAUGGAACUAGAGCGUCCCUCUUAACACGGCUCUGGGGUGUGUACACACCGCCCGUCACCCUCUUCAAAGUAAAACACCUAGUUUUUAACCCACUACCGCUAUGAAGAAGAGGCAAGUCGUAACAUGGUAAGCGUACCGGAAGGUGUGCUUGGAAA
Molecule: ribosomal RNA, 469 nt
Filed under: Stefania evansi (Groete Creek treefrog)
Lineage: Eukaryota; Metazoa; Chordata; Amphibia; Anura; Hemiphractidae
Description: partial 12S ribosomal RNA
Rfam family: Bacterial small subunit ribosomal RNA
Source: RNAcentral